Triticum aestivum (bread wheat) is the source of this 135-nucleotide non-coding RNA. Lineage: Eukaryota; Viridiplantae; Streptophyta; Magnoliopsida; Poales; Poaceae. The record is from Rfam.
UUGUUACUCCCUCUGUCCGAAAAUACUUGUCAUCAAAAUGUAUAAAAAGAGAUGUAUCUAGAACUAAAAUCCGUCUAGAUACAUCUCCUUUUAUCCAUUUUGAUGAUAAGUAUUUCCGGACAGAGGGACUACAAA